This 370-nucleotide unclassified non-coding RNA is filed under the name uncultured bacterium. RNAcentral's name for it is "contains 16S-23S intergenic spacer region". The record is from RNAcentral.
UCCGGCUUGUCACCGGCGGUUUCCCCAGAGUGCCCAACUAAAUGAUGGCAACUAAAGGCGAGGGUUGCGCUCGUUGCGGGACUUAACCCAACAUCUCACGACACGAGCUGACGACAACCAUGCACCACCUGUGCACGGCCCUUACGGACCCCGCAUCUCUGCGAGAUUUCCGUGCAUGUCAAGCCUAGGUAAGGUUCUUCGCGUUGCAUCGAAUUAAGCAACAUGCUCCGCCGCUUGUGCGGGCCCCCGUCAAUUCCUUUGAGUUUCACCCUUGCGGGCGUACUCCCCAGGUGGUUCACUUAACGCUUUCGCUGGGACGCGUACAGUAUAUCGCACACAUCGAGUGAACAUCGUUUACGGCGUGGACUAC